AGUGAACGCUGGCGGUAGGCCUGACACAUGCAAGUCGAACGGCAGCACAGUAAGAGCUUGCUCUUACGGGUGGCGAGUGGCGGACGGGUGAGGAAUACAUCGGAAUCUACUUUUUCGUGGGGGAUAACGUAGGGAAACUUACGCUAAUACCGCAUACGACCUACGGGUGAAAGCAGGGGAUCUUCGGACCUUGCGCGAUUGAAUGAGCCGAUGUCGGAUUAGCUAGUUGGCGGGGUAAAGGCCCACCAAGGCGACGAUCCGUAGCUGGUCUGAGAGGAUGAUCCGCAACAGGGGAGGUGAAACGGGCCCUGGCCCCCGAGGGAGGGCGGCGGGGGGAAAUUUUGAAAAGGGGGGGAAGGCUUGACCCGGCCACCGCGGGGGGGUAAAAAGGCCUUGGGGUUUGAAAACCCUUUUUGUGGGAAAAAAAAAGCAGCGGUUUAAACCCCCGUUGUUUGGAGGGAACCAAAAGAAAAAGCCCCGGCUACCUUCGU
Molecule: ribosomal RNA, 491 nt
Filed under: uncultured bacterium
Lineage: Bacteria
Description: partial 16S ribosomal RNA
Rfam family: Bacterial small subunit ribosomal RNA
Source: RNAcentral